This 387-nucleotide ribosomal RNA is filed under the name uncultured bacterium. Its description in RNAcentral is "bacterial SSU rRNA". It matches the Rfam family "Bacterial small subunit ribosomal RNA", at positions 30 to 417 of the family's 1533-position model. The record is from RNAcentral.
AUUGAACGCUGGCGGCAUGCCUUACACAUGCAAGUCGAACGGCAGCGCGGGAGCAAUCCUGGCGGCGAGUGGCGAACGGGUGAGUAAUACAUCGGAACGUGCCCAAUCGUGGGGGAUAACGCAGCGAAAGCUGUGCUAAUACCGCAUACGAUCUACGGAUGAAAGCAGGGGAUCGCAAGACCUUGCGCGAAUGGAGCGGCCGAUGGCAGAUUAGGUAGUUGGUGAGGUAAAGGCUCACCAAGCCUUCGAUCUGUAGCUGGUCUGAGAGGACGACCAGCCACACUGGGACUGAGACACGGCCCAGACUCCUACGGGAGGCAGCAGUGGGGAAUUUUGGACAAUGGGCGAAAGCCUGAUCCAGCCAUGCCGCGUGCAGGAUUAAGGCCU